Molecule: non-coding RNA, 230 nt
Organism: Schizosaccharomyces pombe (fission yeast)
Lineage: Eukaryota; Fungi; Ascomycota; Schizosaccharomycetes; Schizosaccharomycetales; Schizosaccharomycetaceae
Source: the annotation of a GenBank genome assembly
CAUGAAGGCAAUUAAGCGGUAAUACUAACUAAUUAAUGAAAUCUGCCUGAGGCUUUUUAACUUAAUAUUGGCACACAAAAUUACUCGAUAUACUGAUUACCACCAAUAUGAAACUAAACAAUCGUCUUCCUAUUGCUUGUAAGUGUAACAUCUAACGUAUUGUUUUUAUAAAACUAUUUAGACGUAGUGCUCUAAAACAAACACGAUAAUACAUUAUUAAGUAACGUAUA